AUGGCAAAGAAGCUGGAAUGGUUCAAUAUUGCCGUGGACAAUGGCAUCCCAAAUCAAGCAUGGUACAUGGAGGACAUGGCUACCAUGUUCAGGCUGGGUGUGGAUUGCACUAUCGAGGAUCCGCAGCGAAGACCGUCUAUGCAGAUGGCUCUCAAACGACUCCGACGCUGCCGUGGGUGUGGCCGAUUCGGUGGCCUUCUCACCUGCUAUAACAUGUAA
RNAcentral lists this ribosomal RNA (219 nucleotides) under Triticum aestivum (bread wheat). Its description in RNAcentral is "partial small subunit ribosomal RNA". The record is from RNAcentral. Lineage: Eukaryota; Viridiplantae; Streptophyta; Magnoliopsida; Poales; Poaceae.